AGCGAACGCUGGCGGCAGGCUUAACACAUGCAAGUCGAGCGGGCGUAGCAAUACGUCAGCGGCAGACGGGUGAGUAACGCGUGGGAACGUACCUUUUGGUUCGGAACAACCCAGGGAAACUUGGGCUAAUACCGGAUAAGCCCUUACGGGGAAAGAUUUAUCGCCGAAAGAUCGGCCCGCGUCUGAUUAGCUAGUUGGUGAGGUAACGGCUCACCAAGGCGACGAUCAGUAGCUGGUCUGAGAGGAUGAUCAGCCACAUUGGGACUGAGACACGGCCCAAACUCCUACGGGAGGCAGCAGUGGGGAAUAUUGGACAAUGGGCGCAAGCCUGAUCCAGCCAUGCCGCGUGAGUGAUGAAGGCCCUAGGGUUGUAAAGCUCUUUUGUGCGGGAAGAUAAUGACGGUACCGCAAGAAUAAGCCCC
This 422-nucleotide ribosomal RNA is filed under the name uncultured bacterium. RNAcentral's name for it is "bacterial SSU rRNA". It matches the Rfam family "Bacterial small subunit ribosomal RNA", at positions 29 to 494 of the family's 1533-position model. The record is from RNAcentral.